AGUGAACGCUGGCGGUAGGCCUAACACAUGCAAGUCGAACGGCAGCACAGUAAGAUCUUGCUCUUACGGGUGGCGAGUGGCGGACGGGUGAGGAAUACAUCGGAAUCUACUUUUUCGUGGGGGAUAACGUAGGGAAACUUACGCUAAUACCGCAUACGACCUACGGGUGAAAUCAGGGGAUCUUCGGACCUUGCGCGAUUGAAUGAGCCGAUGUCGGAUUAGCUAGUUGGCGAGGUAAAGGCCCACCAAGGCGACGAUCCGUAGCUGGUCUGAGAGGAUGAUCAGCCACACUGGAACUGAGACACGGUCCAGACUCCUACGGGAGGCAGCAGUGGGGAAUAUUGGACAAUGGGCGCAAGCCUGAUCCAGCCAUACCGCGUGGGUGAAGAAGGCCUUCGGGUUGUAAAGCCCUUUUGUUGGGAAAGAAAAGCAGCAGGUUAAUACCCCGCUGUUCUGACGGUACCCAAAGAAUAAGCACCGGCUAACUUCGUG
Molecule: ribosomal RNA, 492 nt
Filed under: uncultured bacterium
Lineage: Bacteria
Description: partial 16S ribosomal RNA
Rfam family: Bacterial small subunit ribosomal RNA
Source: RNAcentral